This 97-nucleotide transfer RNA is filed under the name Pyrinomonadaceae bacterium. RNAcentral's name for it is "tRNA-Sec". It matches the Rfam family "Selenocysteine transfer RNA". Lineage: Bacteria; Pseudomonadati; Acidobacteriota; Blastocatellia; Blastocatellales; Pyrinomonadaceae. The record is from RNAcentral.
GGUGGCGCAUCCGUUCCGGUGAACGGCGCGGUCUUCAAAACCGUUUGCGAGACUGUGAGAACAGGCUUGGGUUGGUUCGACUCCGACACGCCGCCGA